UACGUAGGCAGCAAGCGUUGUUCGGAAUUACUGGGCGUAAAGAGUGUGUAGGCGGUGCUCCAAGUCUGGUGUGAAAUCUCCCGGCUUACUGGGAGGGUGCAUUAGAAACUGGAAUGCUAGAGGAUGGGAGAGGUAAGCGGAAUUCCUGGUGUAGCGGUGAAAUGCGUAGAUAUCAGGAGGAACACCUGUGGUGUAGACGCUUUCUGGGACCAUUUUCUGACGCUGAGACACGAAAAGCGUGGGGUAGCAAAACAG
RNAcentral lists this ribosomal RNA (255 nucleotides) under uncultured bacterium. RNAcentral's name for it is "partial 16S ribosomal RNA". It matches the Rfam family "Bacterial small subunit ribosomal RNA", at positions 524 to 776 of the family's 1533-position model. The record is from RNAcentral.